Physcomitrium patens is the source of this 2429-nucleotide non-coding RNA. The record is from RefSeq and is a predicted model, not a curated record. NCBI's taxonomy places the organism in Eukaryota, Viridiplantae, Streptophyta, Bryopsida, Funariales, Funariaceae.
AAAUGCUGCAGGUCCUUGCAAGCACAGAGCUCCUCCCCUAACCAAGUGGGGCCUUCCCCAAUGCUGCAACUAGGUUUAAAAUUGCUCCAUCCUUAGUGACUCGUGAACGCAUGAAUGGUCAUAGGCGAAGCAGAGUAGGGAUGCGAAUUUUAAGUCAUUGAGGCGCUCUACCAUUUUGAUUUGUGCUAUUGCCGGCAAUAAUCUCAUCAAGUUUCAACCAAUCGUCGUCUCAGUGAUUCCAGAGGGUUAUGGUGAUGUCUUCUGUCUGAGUGUAUUCUUCUGAAGAUUGCGUCGGCGGAGGGAUAAGAUCCUCCCGAUUUUAGCAGAUGUAACAGUCCGUGAUAUAAUUCCGGGUUUAUCUGAAGUGUCGAGUCUUGAGAAGAAAUGCUACUGAAGGAUCCGAGUCUCAAGACAUUCGAGAUUUGCUUUAUACUGCAGUGGUCACGUUUGUUACUCUGCGUCCUGUCAAUUUUUGUAUAGAUAUAAAUAGUCUUCUAUUUUUAACCUGGAAUCCGUGAAAUUACCAGUUCUUGUUGUAAUUGGCGCUGCUAACUUUGCGAAUUGACGCAAGUGUUCUUGAGGGUGGUGCGAGUAGAGUAUGGACAGACAAUUUGAAGGGGUUUUUCCACUUUCAAUAGCUGCGUCGGAGUCUUUCCAUCACCAUGCAAAAGAAAGAGGACUAGGAAAAGAGUGGAGUUAUGGAGGUGAAAAGCAGAUCAUGCAAGACUGGUCUUGUGCAAAGCGGAAGGCUGGAGAGCGCAUUGCCUUCAUGAAAAUGGUGGGAUAUUUUUCUGAAGGUCAUCCCCGCCUCUGAUCAGGGAGGUGACCAAGCUGCAGAACUGGGAUUAUCGUUUCCACACACAGGCAUCUCUACCCUCUCCGCACGAGACCAUGUCUCGUAAACACUACCCUUCUGUUGUAAUAGUUUCCUUGGGCUCACCACUUGCUUCUUGCGUGGCUCUUUCAAAGGCGAGUCAUAAAUACAGAGUUUGAAGACAUUAAAGGUAUCAUCCACACCAAGAAGCUGCAAUUGAUCACCCACAGAUGUAACUUGAAAUUCCAUAAGUUGUCAUUCACACAACAAUACAGAAUAGGAGGAGAGAGUGGCAACUUCCUUGUAAAGUUCGUCUCCUGAGUGGUAUGCAGCAGGUAAGUUUCUUUCUAAUCAGAUCACUGUCCGUCGGAAUUAUAUCAAUGCCUUGCUUGGUAACAGACUAGUUCAUAAACUUCACUUUUGAUGAGGUAGUAGUCGAUAAUUAUGAAUUGCAGGUGAAGGGUUUGGAAUAUGUAGUUGAGAUCAUUAACUAUCCACUUUUGCGGGAAGAGUAUGUCCUUGGAAUUAGCUUUCAGAAUGUCCAACUCAGUGCAAGUGAACAGCAAAAUGGAAGACUGAAUCAAAACCCACUGAAAUAGUGUGAAGGUGAAGGUUGAGGCUCUGUGUGGUCAAGCAAGUGAAGCCAUUCAACAUGUGUUUUUCAACACCCUCGCUACGUGGGUAAGGUGAAUGUUUAGAACAAUUCACAGAAAGUGGAUCUUAUGGAGUUGAUGUGUCGUCUAGGAGACAAGUGUUCAGCAGCUGCAACUUGUUCCAUGUGCUCAACAGAUUCCGGACAAGGAGACCCUUCAAUUGGGUGAAUAUGAUACAGACUUCAUCAGCAGUAGCUAUGGUGGCACCAUUUGGAACUAUUCGCUUGAAGACACCGCAGAUCCUCAACAUCCAUAUUUUAUUCCCGAGUGGCUCGAUCUCUCCCGCCUCCCAGUAAGCGUGUUGCACCACCAGACCUUCUACUUGGAUUCAGAUCCUGCUUUUUUUUAGAUUCUUCGCAGUUUGAUGAAUGAAACCUGUCUGAAAAAAAACGUUUUCGCUACCAUCUCCAGUGCGUCCUGCACUACUAGACCUAUCUAAAGCCCAUCAUGGUCAAGGCAAGCAUUAGAUUAAUAAACAAAUAAUCAAAAAACGAUAUUCUUAACACCCCAUUUCUUCAGAAAGCCUACAUAGUUUCCAAAACUGUAGCUGUCUCCAUCUACACAGUUGUCUAAAGCAGAACAACAGCUGUAUUUUGUUCUGAUUUAAGUCAAGCCUUCUAUUUGUGACUUGAUUAAUCUUUUUCCCAAAGCCAUGGUUUCUCCAUUUUUCUGUUGAUUUACCUUUCACCCAAACAGUGGUUUUGUUGCUUGUGUUGUGUUCUUCAUUAGACAUUUAAGGAGGAAGAGUAACUCUGCAUCAGACUUAAUCAGGGCUGCCUUGUACCUCAGCGAUAGAAGCUAUUGCAUCAUCCACGUAGGCUUUUGUAAUGAGGCUGACGUGGUUCAAUAUUGUCGACACGUCAGAUGCUCCUUUGAUGAUAAUGUGUUGCUUUUCACAGACCUUUGGGAUGUUCAAUUCCACUCGCUAAUGUUUGAUAAAAGCUCCUUUUUUUUGUUUUUCC